GUCCUUUUGAAUUUAAUUUAAGGUCUGACCUGCCCAGUGAUGAAUUUAACGGCCGCGGUAUAUUGACCGUGCAAAGGUAGCAUAAUCAUUAGUCUUUUAAUAGAGGGCUGGAAUGAACGGUUUAACGAGGAACUGACUGUCUCAUUUUAUUUGUUUUAAAAUUUAAUUUUUUAGUUAAAAAGCUAAAAUUUUAUUGGAAGACGAGAAGACCCUAUAGAUCUUUAUAUAAUUUUUUGUAUUUAUUUAUAAACAUAGGUAUAUUAAAUUUGUAUUUUGUUGGGGUGACAGGAAUAUAAAAUUAACUUUUUCAUUUAUUUACCAUUGAUUUAUGAUUAUUAGAUCCAUUAUUAGUGAUUGUUAGAAUAAGUUACCUUAGGGAUAACAGCGUAAUCCUCUUCCAGAGUUCAUAUUUACAGGAGGGCUUGCGACCUCGAUGUUGGAUUAAGAUAAUAAUUAGGUGUAGCCGCUUAAUUUAUAGGUCUGUUCGACCUUUAAAUUCUU
RNAcentral lists this ribosomal RNA (501 nucleotides) under Sympetrum gracile. Its description in RNAcentral is "partial 16S rRNA". It matches the Rfam family "Bacterial large subunit ribosomal RNA", at positions 1819 to 2597 of the family's 2925-position model. The record is from RNAcentral. Lineage: Eukaryota; Metazoa; Arthropoda; Insecta; Odonata; Libellulidae.